RNAcentral lists this ribosomal RNA (483 nucleotides) under uncultured bacterium. Its description in RNAcentral is "partial 16S ribosomal RNA". It matches the Rfam family "Bacterial small subunit ribosomal RNA", at positions 29 to 506 of the family's 1533-position model. The record is from RNAcentral.
AUUGAACGCUGGCGGCAUGCUUUACACAUGCAAGUCGAACGGCAGCGCGGGCUUCGGCCUGGCGGCGAGUGGCGAACGGGUGAGUAAUACAUCGGAACGUGCCCAGUAGUGGGGGAUAGCUCGGCGAAAGCCGGAUUAAUACCGCAUACGACCUGAGGGUGAAAGCGGGGGAUCUUCGGACCUCGCGCUAUUGGAGCGGCCGAGGGCAGGUUAGCUAGUUGGUGGGGUAAAGGCCUACCAAGGCGACGAUCUGUAGCUGGUCUGAGAGGACGACCAGCCACACUGGGACUGAGACACGGCCCAGACUCCUACGGGAGGCAGCAGUGGGGAAUUUUGGACAAUGGGCGAAAGCCUGAUCCAGCAAUGCCGCGUGUGUGAUGAAGGCCUGCGGGUUGUAAAGCACUUUUGGCGGGAACGAAAAGGACUGUGCCAAUACCACGGUUCGAUGACGGUACCCGUAGAAUAAGCACCGGCUAACUACGU